AUAGCGUAUAUUAAAGUUGUUGCAGUUAAAAAGCUCGUAGUUGAACUUCAGGCCUGGCUGGGCGGUCCGCCUCACGGCGUGUACUGUCUGGCUGGGUCUUACCUCUUGGUGAGCCGGCGUGCCCUUUAUUGGUGUGCGUCGGGGAACCAGGACUUUUACCUUGAGAAAAUUAGAGUGUUCAAAGCAGGCCUGUGCCUGAAUACAUUAGCAUGGAAUAAUAAAAUAGGACGUGCGGUUCUAUUUUGUUGGUUUCUAGAGUCGCCGUAAUGAUUAAUAGGGAUAGUUGGGGGCAUUGGUAUUGAGUCGCUAGAGGUGAAAUUCUUGGAUCGUCGCAAGACUAACUACUG
Molecule: ribosomal RNA, 347 nt
Filed under: uncultured eukaryote
Lineage: Eukaryota
Description: SSU rRNA
Rfam family: Eukaryotic small subunit ribosomal RNA
Source: RNAcentral